UACGUAGGGACCAAGCGUUGUUCGGAUUUACUGGGCGUAAAGGGCGCGUAGGCGGCGCGGUAAGUCACUUGUGAAAUCUCUGAGCUUAACUCAGAACGGCCAAGUGAUACUGCAGUGCUAGAGUGUGGAAGGGGCAAUCGGAAUUCUUGGUGUAGCGGCGAAAUGCGCAGAUAUCAGGAGGAACACCGAUGGCGAAGGCAGGUCACUGGGCCGCAACUGACGCUGAGGAGCGAAAGCAUGGGGAGCGAACAGG
This 253-nucleotide ribosomal RNA is filed under the name uncultured bacterium. Its description in RNAcentral is "partial 16S ribosomal RNA". It matches the Rfam family "Bacterial small subunit ribosomal RNA", at positions 524 to 776 of the family's 1533-position model. The record is from RNAcentral.